This 398-nucleotide ribosomal RNA is filed under the name uncultured bacterium. RNAcentral describes it as "bacterial SSU rRNA". It matches the Rfam family "Bacterial small subunit ribosomal RNA", at positions 357 to 772 of the family's 1533-position model. The record is from RNAcentral.
GGGAAUCUUAGACAAUGGGGGAAACCCUGAUCUAGCCAUGCCGCGUGGACGAUGAAGGCCUUAGGGUUGUAAAGUCCUUUCGCUGAGGAAGAUAAUGACGGUACUCAGUAAAGAAGCCCCGGCUAACUCCGUGCCAGCAGCCGCGGUAAUACGGAGGGGGCUAGCGUUGUUCGGAAUUACUGGGCGUAAAGCGCACGUAGGCGGAUUGGAAAGUUGGAGGUGAAAUCCCAGGGCUCAACCUUGGAACUGCCUUCAAAACUAUCAGUCUAGAGUUCGAGAGAGGUGAGUGGAAUUCCGAGUGUAGAGGUGAAAUUCGUAGAUAUUCGGAGGAACACCAGUGGCGAAGGCGGCUCACUGGCUCGAUACUGACGCUGAGGUGCGAAAGCGUGGGGAGCAAA